UGGGGAAUCUUGGACAAUGGGGGCAACCCUGAUCCAGCCAUGCCGCGUGGGUGAUGAAGGCCUUAGGGUCGUAAAGCCCUUUCGCCGGGGAAGAUAAUGACGGUACCCGGUAAAGAAGCCCCCGGCUAACUCCGUGCCAGCAGCCGCGGUAAUACGGAGGGGGCUAGCGUUGUUCGGAAUGACUGGGCGUAAAGCGCGCGUAGGCGGAUCGGAAAGUUGGGGGUGAAAUCCCGGGGGCUCAACCUCGGAAUGGCCUUCAAAACUCCCGGUCUUGAGUUCGAGAGAGGUGAGUGGAAUUCCGAGUGUAGAGGUGAAAUUCGUAGAUAUUCGGAGGAACACCAGUGGCGAAGGCGGCUCACUGGCUCGACACUGACGCUGGGGUGCGAAAGCGUGGGGAGCAAACAGGAUUAGAUACCCUGGUAGUCCACGCCGUAAAACGAUGAAUGCCAGACGUCGGGGGGCUUGCCCUUCGGUGUCACACCUAACGGAUUAAGCAUUCCGCCUGGGGAGUACGGUCGCAAGAUUAAAAACUCAAAUGAAUUGACGGGGUCAUAGCUGUUUCCUG
RNAcentral lists this ribosomal RNA (565 nucleotides) under uncultured bacterium. RNAcentral describes it as "partial 16S ribosomal RNA". It matches the Rfam family "Bacterial small subunit ribosomal RNA", at positions 355 to 1376 of the family's 1533-position model. The record is from RNAcentral.